RNAcentral lists this ribosomal RNA (254 nucleotides) under uncultured bacterium. RNAcentral's name for it is "partial 16S ribosomal RNA". It matches the Rfam family "Bacterial small subunit ribosomal RNA", at positions 524 to 776 of the family's 1533-position model. The record is from RNAcentral.
UACGUAGGGUGCGAGCGUUGUCCGGAAUUAUUGGGCGUAAAGAGCUCGUAGGCGGUGUGUCGCGUCGGCCGUGAAAACCUGCAGCUUAACUGUGGGCUUGCGGUCGAUACGGGCAUCACUGGAGUUCGGCAGGGGAGACUGGAAUUCCUGGUGUAGCGGUGAAAUGCGCAGAUAUCAGGAGGAACACCGGUGGCGAAGGCGGCAUCCUGGACCGACACUGACGCUGAGGAGCGAAAGCCAGGGGAGCAAACGGG